AUGCAAGUCUACUUGACUUCGGUUUGGGUGGCGGACGGGUGAGUAACGCGUAAAGAACUUGCCUCACAGUUAGGGACAACAUUUGGAAACGAAUGCUAAUACCUGAUAUUAUGAUUUUAGGGCAUCCUAAGAUUAUGAAAGCUAUAUGUGCUGUGAGAGAGCUUUGCGUCCCAUUAGCUAGUUGGAGAGGUAACGGCUCACCAAGGCGAUGAUGGGUAGCCGGCCUGAGAGGGUGAACGGCCACAAGGGGACUGAGACACGGCCCUUACUCCUACGGGAGGCAGCAGUGGGGAAUAUUGGACAAUGGACCAAAAGUCUGAUCCAGCAAUUCUGUGUGCACGAUGACGUUUUUCGGAAUGUAAAGUGCUUUCAGUUGGGAAGAAAAAAAUGACGGUACCAACAGAAGAAGUGACGGCUAAAUACGUGCCAGCAGCCGCGGUAAUACGUAUGUCACAAGCGUUAUCCGGAUUUAUUGGGCGUAAAGCGCGUCUAGGUGGUUAUGUAAGUCUGAUGUGAAAAUGCAGGGCUCAACUCUGUAUUGCGUUGGAAACUGCAUGACUAGAGUACUGGAGAGGUAAGCGGAACUACAAGUGUAGAGGUGAAAUUCGUAGAUAUUUGUAGGAAUGCCGAUGGGGAAGCCAGCUUACUGGACAGAUACUGACGCUAAAGCGCGAAAGCGUGGGGUAGCAAAACAGGAUUAGAUACC
Molecule: ribosomal RNA, 706 nt
Filed under: Fusobacterium periodonticum
Lineage: Bacteria; Fusobacteriati; Fusobacteriota; Fusobacteriia; Fusobacteriales; Fusobacteriaceae
Description: bacterial SSU rRNA
Rfam family: Bacterial small subunit ribosomal RNA
Source: RNAcentral